This 301-nucleotide ribosomal RNA is filed under the name uncultured bacterium. RNAcentral's name for it is "partial 16S ribosomal RNA". It matches the Rfam family "Bacterial small subunit ribosomal RNA", at positions 509 to 807 of the family's 1533-position model. The record is from RNAcentral.
CAGCAGCCGCGGUAAUACAGAGGGUGCGAGCGUUAAUCGGAUUUACUGGGCGUAAAGCGUGCGUAGGCGGCUUCUUAAGUCGGAUGUGAAAUUCCUGAGCUUAACUUAGGAAUUGCAUUCGAUACUGGGAAGCUAGAGUAUGGGAGAGGAUGGUAGAAUUCCAGGUGUAGCGGUGAAAUGCGUAGAGAUCUGGAGGAAUACCGAUGGCGAAGGCAGCCAUCUGGCCUAAUACUGACGCUGAGGUACGAAAGCAUGGGGAGCAAACAGGAUUAGAUACCCGUGUAGUCCCUGUCUCUUAUAC